RNAcentral lists this ribosomal RNA (961 nucleotides) under uncultured bacterium. Its description in RNAcentral is "bacterial SSU rRNA". It matches the Rfam family "Bacterial small subunit ribosomal RNA", at positions 8 to 956 of the family's 1533-position model. The record is from RNAcentral.
AGAGUUUGAUCCUGGCUCAGAACGAACGUUAGCGGCGCGCCUAACACAUGCAAGUCGCACGAGAAAGGGCUUCGGCCCCGGUAAAGUGGCGCACGGGUGAGUAACACGUAGGUAAUCUUCCCUCGAGUAGGGGAUAACUCUCCGAAAGGAGAGCUAAUACCGCAUAAGACCACGGUUCCUUCGGGUUCUGUGGCCAAAGCGGGCCUCUUCACGAAAGCUCGCACUUGAGGAUGAGCCUGCGGCCCAUCAGGCAGUUGGCGGGGUAACGGCCCACCAAACCUAAGACGGGUAGCUGGUCUGAGAGGAUGGUCAGCCACACUGGAACUGAGACACGGUCCAGACUCCUACGGGAGGCAGCAGUGGGGAAUCUUGCGCAAUGGGGGAAACCCUGACGCAGCGACGCCGCGUGAGUGAUGAAGGCCUUCGGGUCGUAAAGCUCUGUGGGGAGGGACGAAUAAGUGUUGGCUAACAUCCAGCAUGAUGACGGUACCUCCUUAGCAAGCACCGGCUAACUCUGUGCCAGCAGCCGCGGUAAGACAGAGGGUGCAAACGUUGUUCGGAAUUACUGGGCGUAAAGCGCGUGUAGGCGGCGUAGCACGUCGGGCGUGAAAGCCCACGGCUCAACCGUGGAAGAGCACUCGAAACUGCUGCGCUAGAGUUCUGGAGAGGAAGGCGGAAUGCUUGGUGUAGAGGUGAAAUUCGUAGAUAUCAAGCGGAACACCGGUGGCGAAGGCGGCCUUCUGGACAGUGACUGACGCUGAAACGCGAAAGCGUGGGGAGCAAACAGGAUUAGAUACCCUGGUAGUCCACGCCGUAAACGAUGGGUGCUAGGUGUCGCGGGCUUUGACCCUCGCGGUGCCGCAGCUAACGCGUUAAGCACCCGCUGGGAGUACGCCGCAAGGCUAAACUCAAGGAUUGACGGGGCCCGCACAAGCGGUGGAGCAUGGUGUUUAAUUCGACG